UACGUAGGGUGCGAGCGUUGUCCGGAAUUAUUGGGCGUAAAGAGCUCGUAGGCGGUCUGUCGCGUCGGUCGUGAAAACUUGGGGCUUAACCCUGAGCUUGCGGUCGAUACGGGCAUGACUGGAGUUCGGUAGGGGAGACUGGAAUUCCUGGUGUAGCGGUGAAAUGCGCAGAUAUCAGGAGGAACACCGGUGGCGAAGGCGGGUCUCUGGGCAGUAACUGACGCUGAGGAGCGAAAGCGUGGGGAGCAAACAGG
RNAcentral lists this ribosomal RNA (254 nucleotides) under uncultured bacterium. RNAcentral describes it as "partial 16S ribosomal RNA". It matches the Rfam family "Bacterial small subunit ribosomal RNA", at positions 524 to 776 of the family's 1533-position model. The record is from RNAcentral.